UAUGCUAUAGUCAUCCGAUCCGGCUCGUUCCGACUUAUAUACUACCUGCAAUAGAAAGACAACUUUUGGGAAAGUUUCAUGCAGAUAGCUUUAAAACUGAGAGACUAGUUUGCGUAGAAACGGACGGACAGACGGACAGACGGACAUGGCUAGAUCGACUCGCCUAGUGAUGCUGAUCAAGAAUAUAUAUACUUUAUAGGGUCGGAGAUGUCCCCUUCACUGCGUUGCAAACUUCUGACUGAAAUUAUAAUACCCUCUGCAAGGGUAUAAAAAAGCGAUUUUUAUUUUAAUAUACAGUGGAGUUUUAUUGGUAAAGUCUUUAUAGUUACAUUUGGAUUGGUCAAAGCUUUUAUGCUGAUGAAUUGGUGCUGAUGCUGGACCCUUUGUUUUAAAGUUUAUAAUUUGCUGUCGUCGGUAAAGGCGUGUGAAAUGUUUAUAAUAAGGGGACUGUUGCUAACAGGCUUGGGAAACGUUUAUGUGUGAAUAAUUUGAAUAACUCCUAUAGUAGGCUCUAAAAUGUUAUGUUUGAUAAACGAUGUAAUGGGUAUCUCGUAUUUCGUAAUACGUCACUUACAUACUUACGAAAAGCAAUAAAAAAUAUAUGUACAUAUCGACAAACCGGUUCUUAAACCGGAAUUUUAUCAAUCGGUUAAUGUUGAACCCCGAACCGAACUUUGUCAAAUUGGAAUGAGUUCACAGCCAUGAAAUUAAUAAGAGUAAGAUGGUAAGAUAAGGUCUGCAUCCCAAUUGAGGCCCAGUAGAGCAAAAAGUACAAAGUUCUUUUGCACAGACUCUAUUCGGUCUAUAUGUACACCAUACUGGGGACUUCAAACUGGGAUCAUCAAAUUUUUUAGAUCACCUUUUUAUAAAUCCCUGGCUUUAUUUACCCUGGAAAUAAUUUGGUCAGAAAACUUAAGUCUUGGGUCCAGAUAUACGCCAAGGUCAUCAAUAUGUCUAAUUCCAGUCAUCUCACAACCACUUUACGUAUAUGUGGCAUACUGUGGAUUGACCCGAUAAAAUUUCACAAUUUUGGUAUAGGGUGAUCAAUUUAUAUAGUGGUCUGCACAGGGUCUCUGCGCAGUAUCUAAGCAGACUGCCUGGAACACCGUCAAGAUCCGGUGAGUAGACUUAACCUUUUGCAGAUCAACAGGAAGGUAGCAUCCCCUUAAAUUCGGACAAAAUAUUGAGUUAGACUUGGACAUAUAAAUAAGAUAUACAUAUAAAAAAGACUGAUGUGAUCGGGACGAAGCUGAAUACGUCGUUUGAAAAAUGCAAUGCUGGAAGAGGCGGAUUUACGCUUAGUGUUAACAAAACUAUAAAACCAUUUUGGAUGCUGUGAAAACUGGAUCCUACAACGAGUUAAAUAGCCAUUAUAACACUGUGCGUUAAGCACGAUAAAAUUCGCCAAAGCACUUAAGUAUCUGGAAAAGACAG
Long non-coding RNA from Drosophila gunungcola (fruit fly), 1434 nucleotides. RefSeq lists it as uncharacterized. The transcript is spliced from 3 exons. The record is from RefSeq and is a predicted model, not a curated record. Lineage: Eukaryota; Metazoa; Arthropoda; Insecta; Diptera; Drosophilidae.